RNAcentral lists this ribosomal RNA (728 nucleotides) under uncultured Desulfobacteraceae bacterium. Its description in RNAcentral is "bacterial SSU rRNA". It matches the Rfam family "Bacterial small subunit ribosomal RNA", at positions 194 to 913 of the family's 1533-position model. Lineage: Bacteria; Pseudomonadati; Thermodesulfobacteriota; Desulfobacteria; Desulfobacterales; Desulfobacteraceae. The record is from RNAcentral.
GUGGCCUCUACAUGUAAGCUCCGUUUGAGGAUGAGCUCGCGUACCAUUAGCUGUUGGGUAGGGUAAUGGCCUACCAAGGCUACGAUGGUUAGCUGGUCUGAGAGGAUGAUCAGCCACACUGGAACUGACACACGGUCCAGACUCCUACGGGAGGCAGCAGUGAGGAAUUUUGCGCAAUGGGGGAAACCCUGACGCAGCAACGCCGCGUGAGUGAUGAAGGCUUUCGGGUCGUAAAGCUCUGUCAAGUGGGAAGAAAAUACAAAUUGAUAAUACCCUUUUGUACUGACGGUACCACUGAAGGAAGCACCGGCUAACUCCGUGCCAGCAGCCGCGGUAAUACGGGGGGUGCAAGCGUUAUUCGGAUUUACUGGGCGUAAAGGGCGCGUAGGCGGUCUCUUAAGUCAGAUGUGAAAGCCCGGGGCUUAACCCCGGAAGUGCAUCUGAAACUGGGGGACUUGAGUAUGGGAGAGGGAAGUGGAAUUCCUGGUGUAGCGGUGAAAUGCGUAGAUAUCAGGAGGAACACCUGUGGCGAAGGCGACUUCCUGGACCAAUACUGACGCUGAGGCGCGAAGGCGUGGGGAGCAAACAGGAUUAGAUACCCUGGUAGUCCACGCAGUAAACGGUGAUCACUAGGUGUAGCGGGUAUUGACCCCUGCUGUGCCGCAGCUAACGCAUUAAGUGAUCCGCCUGGGGAGUACGGUCGCAAGGUUAAAACUCAAAUGAAUUGA